CAAUAGCGUAUAUUAAAGUUGUUGCAGUUAGAACGCUCGUAGUCGGAUUUCGGGGCGGGCCGACCGGUCUGCCGAUGGGUACGCAAUGGUCGGCGCGUCCUUCCUUCCGGAGACCGUGCCUACUCUUAACUGAGCGGGGGCGGGAGACGGAUCGUUUACUUUGAAAAAAUCAGAGUGUUUCAAGCAGGCAGCUCGCUCUUGCAUGGAUUAGCAUGGGAUAAUGAAAUAGGACUUUGGUGCUAUUUUGUUGGUUUCGAACACCGAAGUAAUGAUUAAAAGGGACAGUCAGGGGCACUCGUAUUCCGCAGAGAGAGGUGAAAUUCUCAGACCCGCGGAAGACGAACCACUGCGAAAGCAUUUGCCAGGGAUGUUUUCACUGA
This 380-nucleotide ribosomal RNA is filed under the name uncultured eukaryote. Its description in RNAcentral is "partial 18S ribosomal RNA". It matches the Rfam family "Eukaryotic small subunit ribosomal RNA", at positions 592 to 976 of the family's 1831-position model. The record is from RNAcentral.